AGAACGAACGCUGGCGGCAGGCCUAACACAUGCAAGUCGAACGGGUAUCUUCGGAUACUAGUGGCGGACGGGUGAGUAACGCGUGGGAACGUACCCUUUGGUUCGGAAUAGCCUCGGGAAACUGGGAGUAAUACCGGAUACGGUCGAGAGACGAAAGAUUUAUCGCCGAAGGAUCGGCCCGCGUUGGAUUAGGUAGUUGGUGGGGUAAUGGCCUACCAAGCCGACGAUCCAUAGCUGGUUUGAGAGGAUGAUCAGCCACACUGGGACUGAGACACGGCCCAGACUCCUACGGGAGGCAGCAGUGGGGAAUCUUAGACAAUGGGGGAAACCCUGAUCUAGCCAUGCCGCGUGAUCGAUGAAGGCCUUAGGGUGUAAAGAUCUUUCAGUGGGGAAGAUAAUGACGGUACCCACAGAAGAAGCCCGGCUAACUCCGCGCCAGCAGCCGC
RNAcentral lists this ribosomal RNA (446 nucleotides) under uncultured bacterium. RNAcentral describes it as "SSU rRNA". It matches the Rfam family "Bacterial small subunit ribosomal RNA", at positions 26 to 518 of the family's 1533-position model. The record is from RNAcentral.